This 404-nucleotide unclassified non-coding RNA is filed under the name soil metagenome. RNAcentral describes it as "partial contains 5.8S ribosomal RNA, internal transcribed spacer 2, and large subunit ribosomal RNA". The stretch from base 1 to 122 matches the Rfam family "5.8S ribosomal RNA", at positions 35 to 154 of the family's 154-position model. The record is from RNAcentral.
GAUGAAGAACGUAGCAAAAUGCGAUACUUGGUGUGAAUUGCAGAAUCCCGUGAACCAUCGAGUUUUUGAACGCAAGUUGCGCCCGAAGCCUUUUGGCCGAGGGCACGUCUGCCUGGGCGUCACGCAUCGCGUCGCCCCCCACAAUUCUCCGUAAAAGGAACAUGUGUUUUGGGGGCGGAUAUUGGUCUCCCGUGCUCAUGGCGUGGUUGGCCGAAAUAGGAGUCCUUUCGAUGGACGCACGAACUAGUGGUGGUCGUAAAAACCCUCGGCUUUUGUUUCGUGCUGUUGCUCGCAAGGUAAACUCUUUAAAAACCCCAAUGUGUCGUCUCUUGACGACGCUUCGACCGCGACCCCAGGUCAGGCGGGACUACCCGCUGAGUUUAAGCAUAUCAAUAAGCGGAGGA